AGGAUGAAACAAUGAAACCUGAGCAUUCAAGCAGCCUGAACAGUUCAAUUUUGGAAGUGAUUAACUGCUAAUUUUUAAUAAUGAAAGUUUUCUUUAAUAUGGAGAGAGAUAAGUGGGAGCACCAGUAAUCAUGGAGAUGUUUGUAGGACAGGAAAGAUCAUAUGUGUUUGAGUGCAAACGGCUGCAGAGCCAUAUUGAUAUGGAUGGCCAGCCUUGUUGAUGUAUUUGAGCCAUGUUCCUGUUCAUAAUCAUUCCCUCAGAGUGCAAAAUGCGGAAGACACAGGCAGGUAGCGAGUGACAAGCAUGGAAUA
Non-coding RNA from Coturnix japonica (Japanese quail), 311 nucleotides. NCBI's taxonomy places the organism in Eukaryota, Metazoa, Chordata, Aves, Galliformes, Phasianidae. The record is from RefSeq and is a predicted model, not a curated record.